Molecule: ribosomal RNA, 145 nt
Filed under: Oryza sativa (Asian cultivated rice)
Lineage: Eukaryota; Viridiplantae; Streptophyta; Magnoliopsida; Poales; Poaceae
Description: partial 17S ribosomal RNA
Rfam family: Eukaryotic small subunit ribosomal RNA
Source: RNAcentral
GAUCCAUUGGAGGGCAAGUCUGGUGCCAGCAGCCGCGGUAAUUCCAGCUCCAAUAGCGUAUAUUUAAGUUGUUGCAGUUAAAAAGCUCGUAGUUGGACCUUGGGCGGGCCGGUCCGCCUCACGGCAGGCACCGACCUGCUCGACC